AAAUACAGCGAGAUUCGGAUCGUCGUCAAUAUCCUGGCAUCUAGAUUUGGCUUUAGUUAAAAGUGAAGAGUUACACACGGUAGCUUUAAUAAUCAGAUCAUUUCUUGUAUAAUGAAUUACAGUAACUGGCCAGUGUGAUAAUCUCAAUCCCUCUGAUGAGGGUUCUCUGGUAUAUGUCCAUUAAAAUUAUGGAAAUACAGUCAAUUGCCUUUCACGCGUUGCAUUGCAUUGCAUUGCAUUGCGUAGGCACAUCAUGUUCCGAUGCGUAACAAUAUGGCGCCCUCUCCUGUCUCUGUCCAGUCUCUGUUUUGCCCGGCUUUGGGACGUCAUGUAGGACACGAUCUUGACUUGACUGGAGUUGAAUGUCUCUUUGGCAGGGGGGCGGGAUCUCACGAUCGGAGGCUCCCCGCGUGCUUGGGCCAUCCAGCGAUUCACUGACAUUCCCCGGGCUGGCUGUUCGGGAGGUAAAAAAGAGGAAAGUUACUCUGACUUCUUGGACAUACUGCCAACAUGUCUGGGGAUGAAGAGAAACAGGAGCAGACCGUCGCCGAUGACUUGGUGGUUACCAAGUACAAGAUGGGGGCCGAGAUUGCCAACCAGGCCCUAAAGAUGGUGGUUGAGGCGGCAAUGGCCGGCGUGUCGGUGCUCAGCUUGUGUGAAAAAGGAGACGCCUUCAUCAUGACAGAAACUGGGAAAAUCUUCAAGAAGGAGAAAGAAAUGAAGAAAGGUAUUGCCUUUCCAACAUGUGUGUCGGUCAAUAACUGCGUGUGCCAUCACUCCCCGCUUAAGAGCGACCCUGAUGUCAUGCUGAAGGACGGGGACCUCGUUAAAGUUGACCUCGGCGUGCACGUAGAUGGCUUUAUCGCCAACGUGGCUCACAGCUUUGUUGUUGGUGUGACCAAGGAAAAGCCCCUGACAGGCCGCAAGGCCGACGUGAUAAUCGCAGCUCAUCUGUGCGCAGAGGCUGCCCUGCGUCUCGUCAAGCCCGGAAACCAGAACACACAGGUCACGGAAGCUUGGAACAAGAUUGCAAAGUCUUUCAAGUGCUCACCAGUUGAAGGCCUGUUGUCACAUCAGCUUAAACAGCACGUCAUUGAUGGAGAGAAAACUAUCAUUCAAAACCCAACGGACCAGCAAAGGAAGGACCACGAGAAGGCUGAAUUUGAGGUGCAUGAAGUCUAUGCAGUGGAUGUGCUCAUCAGUACUGGAGAGGGGAAGACAAAAGAUGGCGGUCUGAGGACCACGGUUUACAAACGAGAUCCCAACAAGGUGUACGGGUUAAAGAUGAAGACUUCGCGGACUUUCUUCAGUGAGAUGGAGAGACGAUUUGAUAAAAUGGCUUUCACUCUUAGAGCAUUUGACGAUGAGGGUAAGGCCAGGCUGGGCGUGGUGGAGUGUGCCAAGCAUGAGCUGCUGCAGCCAUUCAAUAUUCUUCAGGAGAAGGAGGGGGAAUUUGUAGCUCAGUUCAAGUUCACUGUGCUGCUCAUGGCCAACGGACCACUCCGAAUCACAAACAGCCUCUAUGAACCCGAACUGUAUAAGUCGGAGCAUGAGGUGGGGGACGCUGAGUUGAAGGUUUUGCUUCAAAGCUCAGCCAGUCGAAAGGCGCAGAAGAAAAAGAAAAAGAAGGCCUCAAAGACCGCGGAGAGUGCAACAGGACAGUCAAUGGAGACAGAAGCUGCAGAAUAAAUUUCGCAUCGAGCAAGUAGUGACGCACCCCAAAAACAGACGUCAUAUUUGCUUCUGUUGCAGCUGUCGGAGGGCACUGGUGGCAAAGCAACACCUGUGAAAUCCGACAGAUGUCAGCCUGGGACAGGACUGCUCCUAAAUUCUUUCACCUUAAAACAAACACACUGACCAUAAAUCUCAUCGUCAUUGAGACAGAAUUUGUCUGCAACAUUGGACACAACUCAUCCAGACAAAAAUUCUUACAGGAACGUUAGCCAUUUGACCUUGAGCCUUCAUCCCACUUUGCCACGUGAAAUGAUCCUGUCAAAAAAAAAAAAAAAAUUAAGUCUGACUGAGAUGCCAAGGAUGAAGAAUGGCCAAUGCACUGUCAGUUUGAUAGCCUCCCUGAGAUCUGAAGCCAAUCCAAAGAAAUGGAACUUCAACUUGUGUGGUCAUAAUAUCAUCAGAUUCAUCAAUCUUGAUGUAACUACAAUCACCCAAGUUGUAGUUAAGACACCAACAGUAAGUUAAUGUACUGCUCCAUCUUUGUGUACACCUCUAGGCAUCCAGGAUACUCAGUUGACAAUAUCCAUCACAAGACUGACAGGACGCAUGCUCCAACCUGUCAUAGGUUCUGCGAUCAGUCUUGUGCCUCCAGCAGGGUCAUGAGAGUGCUGCGGCCUAUUCCAGCCAAAAUGGAGACAACACCCUGAACUGGUCAGUUGCAUGGCACAUAUCGACACAGUGACUGAGUGGGAACUGAACCCAUACUACCUGCACCUAAGUCAGGCGAGUGGACCACUACACUAUCAGUGACCCUAAAGAUAAGUUAAUUGAUCUAUGCAAACAUCUGGAAAUAUCAAAUUAAGGUUGCAAUUUAAAUUGCUGAUAGCGCUGAAUGCCUCAUCUGUAUCAGAUUUGAAAAAAAUCCUUCACCACUACAUUUUCACACUUAAGAGAUAAGAGUACUGAAAACCAACUAAUGGAAGGACUUCCUUGAUACAGUUUGCACUUUUGCUUUAGGUAGCAUUCAUCAGACACUUAUUACAAUUCUGUACUUGUGUUCGUGUUUGCUGCCUUUCCAUUUUGGACCAGUGGGUGAGCACAAAUCCCACGUUAUUGUCACUGGACUCAAAUUUUCCUCAGAUAGCGACACUCGAGUGACGUCUUAAAGCGUCGCUUGAUUAUGACGUCAGUUACAAAACUGCCCUUUCUCGCUAGGUACGUGCUAUAAUUUUGUAGAAACCAGAAGCCGAGGGAAUCCCUUUGUUGAUUUGACUUAACUAAACGUGAUCUUUGUCCGACUCUUUUAGCAAUGCGAGCCAAGUGGAGAAAGAAGCGCAUGCGCAGGUUGAAGCGCAAAAGGAGAAAGAUGAGGCAGAGGUCCAAGUAAGCUGUCCGCUGGAAGGCAACUGGGCAGUCUUGAGUUGCCAGAAACCAGAUGGAUUGACUGAGAGUGCUGCAGGGGAGCCCUCAUGUGGAAGUCUUGACAUCAGCCUGUGCCCAAUCGGCUCAGGCAACGCUUGCAGGACUUUUCUUGAUUUUACUGGAUUCUUAGUGUUUGUUCCUUCCGCUUUUUCUUAAAUGAAAAUUAAAGGAUUAGGUGUUAAAACAA
Molecule: RNA transcript, 3283 nt
Organism: Syngnathoides biaculeatus (alligator pipefish)
Lineage: Eukaryota; Metazoa; Chordata; Actinopteri; Syngnathiformes; Syngnathidae
Gene name: proliferation-associated protein 2G4-like
Exons: 16
Source: RefSeq, a predicted model, not a curated record